UACAGAGGGUGCGAGCGUUGUCCGGAAUUACUGGGCGUAAAGGGCGCGUAGGCGGCUUGGUAAGUCGGGGGUGAAAGUCAGCGGCUCAACCGCUGGACUGCCUUCGAGACUGCCUGGCUUGAGCAUGGUAGAGGCUGGCGGAAUUCCCGGUGUAGCGGUGGAAUGCGUAGAGAUCCGGAAGAACACCGGUGGCGAAGGCGGCCUGCUGGGCAGUUUAGCUGACACUGAGGCGCGACAGCGUGGGGAGCAAACAGG
Molecule: ribosomal RNA, 255 nt
Filed under: uncultured bacterium
Lineage: Bacteria
Description: partial 16S ribosomal RNA
Rfam family: Bacterial small subunit ribosomal RNA
Source: RNAcentral